CUGUAGUGAUGGGCAGAUGAAACCUCAUUGGGUGUAUGGCACAUUUCCCAAACUGUAUCGACACUGUGUUGAAACUGUGUUGCUGUAUCACUUAAUGGCGACAUCUGCUGGACUAAGAAAGUCAUUGCAAGCAACUGCGCGAAGAAAUGCAUCGGUCACGUGGUUUUCCUUAAAAUGAUACGCGGUCUGACACAGGGGUUCGCCUUGUUUGCUCGGUGCAUGCGCUGAAGUUUCAGUGUCGUCAGACCCAUCGCUACCAAACGAUACAGGAAGUGUAUCGGUCACGUGGUUUUCCUUAACAUGAUACGCGCACCGACACGGGGUUUCGCCUUGACAGCUCGGCGCAUGUGUCGAGGUUUCAGGGUCGUCAGACCCAUCACUACUAAACUGGUUUAGUGGAUAUUAAUGGUGUAAAUGUCGUUUUUAUUCGCUUAAAUACUGCAAAAUACUUACAGACAUGAUGGAUAAUUCGUCAGCCGACAUGUAACUGUGCUGCAGGAUCUGGAAGAAGAGAGGAGACUGAAGAAACAACGAUAAGCUGAUUUUAAAUCUUUAAAAGAGUAUAUUUUUUCAAUUUCCAUAUUUUUAAAUCCAACACAAUGGAAAGCACAACCCUUAUACACCUGUUCUGUUACCUACUGGAAAUCCUGCACUACAAUUCUGGAUAGAAGGGAAAGAAUCAUAAUGGCCCGAAGCUUGAACAUGAUUUUUAUUUUAAUUUUUAUGUCCUUCUUGGACUUGGGACCACGUUGUUCAGCAUGUGCUCAAUUUGAAUACGAAACUCGUGGUGGGAAUUGUUGUCCUAAGUGUGAACAAGGGACACGGGUUAAGAAGGAUUGUACAAAAAUGAAUGACACUGUCUGUAUUCCGUGUAUGGGCGCAACUUUCCUUGAUGCCUACAACAACCAAACAGAGUGCUACAACUGUACAAUCUGUGAUCCU
Long non-coding RNA from Astyanax mexicanus (Mexican tetra), 942 nucleotides. RefSeq lists it as uncharacterized. The transcript has 3 exons. The record is from RefSeq and is a predicted model, not a curated record. NCBI's taxonomy places the organism in Eukaryota, Metazoa, Chordata, Actinopteri, Characiformes, Acestrorhamphidae.